RNAcentral lists this small RNA (228 nucleotides) under Oerskovia sp. Root918. RNAcentral's name for it is "Actinobacteria sRNA Ms_IGR-5". It matches the Rfam family "Actinobacteria sRNA Ms_IGR-5". Lineage: Bacteria; Bacillati; Actinomycetota; Actinomycetes; Micrococcales; Cellulomonadaceae. The record is from Rfam by way of RNAcentral.
ACAUGGGAAAGGAGGUGGUCCACGAAGUGAAGAAUCUUCGGACACAUGAGGUGGUUGCACGCUAGUCGUGCCAUCGAACGACGGACCUUGCGAGGAACCCGCGGCCGACCGGUGACCGUCAGGUCACCCACGACCAGCGAGAACCGAGCAACCACCGGAGCCCGCGGGUGUCGCGCCCUUGUCCAGCGCGACGGGUGGAGAGAUCCAUCAGCCCGCGGGCCUCUUCAU